This is a non-coding RNA of Acanthosepion pharaonis, 107 nucleotides long. Lineage: Eukaryota; Metazoa; Mollusca; Cephalopoda; Sepiida; Sepiidae. The record is from the annotation of a GenBank genome assembly.
CAUAUCACGUUGAAACAUCAGUUCUCGUACGUUCACCGAAGUUAAGCAAUGUCAAGCCUGGUGAGUACCUAGAUGCUUGUCCGCUUGGGAAUAUCAGGUUCUGUAAG